UAUAUAUAUAUAUAUAUUUAUAUUUAUAUAUAUAUUUUUUUUUAGAGAGAGAAAAAAAGUUAUUACAUUUUUAAUUACAUUAAUAAGAGCCAUGAAUUUACAAUGAAGGAUGUAAUAUGUUCUUAUUUAAAUGAAAACAGAACUAUUGAAUUAGUGGUUCAUGUCUUCAUUCUCUCCGGUACAUUUUACAGACACAAAAACAAGUGUUUGAAAUCUGUCCCCCAAAUGCAAUAUAUUUUUUUUACUUGAAAUCAAAUAUUUAAUCAAAUCUCUAGAAAUCGUCAAUAACAAAAAAUAUUAUUCUUACAACUCUAUCAUAGGUUUAACCCCUGACCUUCUGACAACUCUAUCAUAGGUUUAACCCCUGACCUUCUGACAACUAUCAUAGGUUAUUAUUAUCUGUAACCGGGGGAGACUAGAUACAAAACUUGAGAACAGACAAACAGAAAACACUGGUAUGACCUGACAAGACAAACUGGCAACAGACAAACAGAAAACACAGGUAUAAAUACACAGGGGAUAAUGGAGAAAACACAGGUAUAAAUACACAGGAGAUCAUGGAGAAAACAGAAAACACAGGUAUAAAUACACAGGGGAUAAUGGAGAAAACACAGGUAUAAAUACACAGGAGAUCAUGGAGAAAACAGAAAACACAGGUAUAAAUACACAGGGGAUAAUGGAUAGUGGAGAAAAGUGGGAGACACCAGGAGGGGGAGGUGGAGACAAGCACAAGACAGGUGAAACAGAUCAGCGAGUGACAAAAUACAGAGGUGAACUAUCAAUUCCCCGGAUUCCUACCGCAAACUCUGAACCCUUUUCAUCUGGAUCAUGGCAGCUACCUAACCGCAACCCGGGUUGACUACUGCUGGCUAACGUUUCCGUCCCGGAGAAAGCACCAACUAGCCUGGGGCUAGCCCAUGCUAGACCCAUCUCCUGGCUAGGGCUCCUGGGCUACUCCUGGCUAACGUUUCCGUCCCGGAGAAAGCACCAACUAGCCUGGGGCUAGCCCAUGCUAGGCCCAUCUCCUGGCUAGGGCUCCUGGGCUACUCCUGGCUAACGUUUCCGUCCCGGAGAAAGCACCAACUAGCCUGGGGCUAGCCCAUGCUAGACCCAUCUCCUGGCUAGGGCUCCUGGGCUACUCCUGGCUAACGUUUCCGUCCCGGAGAAAGCACCAACUAGCCUGGGGCUAGCCCAUGCUAGACCCAUCUCCCGGCUAGGGCUCCUGGGCUACUCCUGGCUAACGUUUCCGUCCCGGAGAAAGCACCAACUAGCCUGGAGCUAGCCCAUGCUAGGCCCAUCUCCUGGCUACGGCUCCUGGGCUACUCCUGGCUAACGUUUCCGUCCCGGAGAAAGCACCAACUAGCCUGGAGCUAGCCCAUGCUAGACCCAUCUCCUGGCUAGGGCUCCUGGGCUACUCCUGGCUAACGUUUCCGUCCCGGAGAAAGCACCAACUAGCCUGGGGCUAGCCCAUGCUAGACCCAUCUCCUGGCUAGGGCUCCUGGGCUACUCCUGGCUAACGUUUCCGUCCCGGAGAAAGCACCAACUAGCCUGGAGCUAGCCCAUGCUAGGCCCAUCUCCUGGCUAGGGCUCCUGGGCUACUCCUGGCUAACGUUUCCGUCCCGGAGAAAGCACCAACUAGCCUGGAGCUAGCCCAUGCUAGUAGACCCAUCUCCUGGCUAGGGCUCCUGGGCUACUCCUGGCUAACGUUUCCGUCCCGGAGAAAGCACCAACUAGCCUGGGGCUAGCCCAUGCUAGACCCAUCUCCUGGCUAGGGCUCCUGGGCUACUCCUGGCUAACGUUUCCAUCCCGGAGAAAGCACCAACUAGCCUGGGGCUAGCCCAUGCUAGACCCAUCUCCUGGCUAGGGCUCCUGGGCUACUCCUGGCUAACGUUUCCGUCCCGGAGAAAGCACCAACUAGCCUGGGGCUAGCCCAUGCUAGACCCAUCUCCCGGCUAGGGCUCCUGGGCUACUCCUGAAGCCCCCUGCUCGGCUACAAUAUCCGGACCCCUUCUACUGGCGGUACGGGGCACGGAACCCCGCUGAUCCUUCACGACUGGAAUACCGACAUAAUCUGCCCUCAGGCCCCCUCAGGCCCAUUCUGCCUUGUCCAUUACUGUCCUGGUUAGUGAUUACUGUCUUAUUUCACUGUAGAGCCUCUAGCCCUGCUCAAUAUGCCUUAACCAACCAUGUUGUUCCACCUCCUACAUAUGCGAUGACAUCACCUGGUUUAAAUGUCUCUAGAGGCUAUAUCUCU
Molecule: long non-coding RNA, 2254 nt
Filed under: Salmo salar (Atlantic salmon)
Lineage: Eukaryota; Metazoa; Chordata; Actinopteri; Salmoniformes; Salmonidae
Description: lncRNA (ENSSSAG00000112415.1)
Source: RNAcentral